This 76-nucleotide transfer RNA is filed under the name Campylobacterota bacterium. RNAcentral describes it as "Epsilonproteobacteria bacterium tRNA-Trp". It matches the Rfam family "tRNA". From Rfam's summary of the family: Transfer RNA (tRNA) molecules are approximately 80 nucleotides in length. Their secondary structure includes four short double-helical elements and three loops (D, anti-codon, and T loops). The record is from RNAcentral. RNAcentral also lists the same sequence under 1 other name. Lineage: Bacteria; Pseudomonadati; Campylobacterota.
AGACCAAUAGCUCCAAUGGUAGAGCACUGGAUUCCAAAUCCAGGUGUUGGGGGUUCGAGUCCCUCUUGGUCUGCCA